Etheostoma spectabile (orangethroat darter) is the source of this 147-nucleotide long non-coding RNA. RefSeq lists it as uncharacterized. NCBI's taxonomy places the organism in Eukaryota, Metazoa, Chordata, Actinopteri, Perciformes, Percidae. The transcript is spliced from 3 exons. The record is from RefSeq and is a predicted model, not a curated record.
GUCUAUGAAGGGCUGGCAGUGGGGAUACCGGGUGAACCGAGUCCACUGCAGGUGGCAGUCAAAACCCUCCCUGAGGUUUGCUCUGAGCAAGACGAAUUGGACUUCCUCAUGGAGGCUCUAAUAAUCAGUAAGUUCAGCCACCAGAAC